CAAUAGCGUAUAUUAAAGUUGUUGCGGUUAAAAAGCUCGUAGUUGGAUUUCUGCCGAGGACGACCGGUCCGCCCUCUGGGUGAGUAUCUGGCUCGGCCUGGGCAUCUUCUUGGAGAACGUAGCUGCACUUGACUGUGUGGUGCGGUAUCCAGGACUUUUACUUUGAGGAAAUUAGAGUGUUUCAAGCAGGCUUACGCCUUGAAUACAUUAGCAUGGAAUAAUAAGAUAGGACCUCGGUUCUAUUUUGUUGGUUUCUAGAGCUGAGGUAAUGAUUAAUAGGGAUAGUUGGGGGCAUUCGUAUUUAACUGUCAGAGGUGAAAUUCUUGGAUUUGUUAAAGACGGACUACUGCGAAAACAUUUGCCAAGGAUGUUUUCAUUGA
Molecule: ribosomal RNA, 380 nt
Filed under: uncultured eukaryote
Lineage: Eukaryota
Description: partial 18S ribosomal RNA
Rfam family: Eukaryotic small subunit ribosomal RNA
Source: RNAcentral